RNAcentral lists this transfer RNA (75 nucleotides) under Nemipterus bathybius (yellowbelly threadfin bream). RNAcentral's name for it is "tRNA-Lys". It matches the Rfam family "tRNA". Rfam says of the family: Transfer RNA (tRNA) molecules are approximately 80 nucleotides in length. Their secondary structure includes four short double-helical elements and three loops (D, anti-codon, and T loops). The record is from RNAcentral. Lineage: Eukaryota; Metazoa; Chordata; Actinopteri; Spariformes; Nemipteridae.
CACUAAGAAUCUAAAUAUAGCCGUAGCGUUAGCCUUUUAAGCUAAAAACUGGUGGUCCCCACCCACCCUUAUUGA